UCGAGAAUCUUCGGCAAUGGGCGCAAGCCUGACCGAGCGACGCCGCGUGCGGGAUGAAGGCCUUCGGGUUGUAAACCGCUGUCAGUUGGGAGGAAAUCUCAUGGGGUUCUCUCCAUGAGUUGACCGAUCUUCAGAGGAAGGACGGGCUAAGUUCGUGCCAGCAGCCGCGGUAAGACGAACCGUCCAAACGUUAUUCGGUAUCACUGGGCUUAAAGCGUACGUAGGCGGCCUGGUAGGUGAGAUGUGAAAUCCCACGGCUCAACCGUGGAACUGCGUUUCAAACCACCAGGCUCGAGGAAGACAGGGGUGAUGGGAACUGAUGGUGGAGCGGUGAAAUGCGUUGAUAUCAUCAGGAACACCGGUGGCGAAAGCGCAUCACUGGGUCUUUUCUGACGCUGAGGUACGAAAGCUAGGGGAGCGAACGGGAUUAGAUACCCCCGUAGUCC
RNAcentral lists this ribosomal RNA (446 nucleotides) under uncultured prokaryote. RNAcentral describes it as "bacterial SSU rRNA". It matches the Rfam family "Bacterial small subunit ribosomal RNA", at positions 355 to 796 of the family's 1533-position model. The record is from RNAcentral.